This 63-nucleotide transfer RNA is filed under the name Nuttalliella namaqua. RNAcentral describes it as "tRNA-Trp". The record is from RNAcentral. Lineage: Eukaryota; Metazoa; Arthropoda; Arachnida; Ixodida; Nuttalliellidae.
AUGACUUUAAGUUAAAUAAAACUAUUUACCUUCAAAGUAAAAAUUAAUAUAAUUUAAGUCUUA